RNAcentral lists this ribosomal RNA (497 nucleotides) under uncultured bacterium. RNAcentral describes it as "partial 16S ribosomal RNA". It matches the Rfam family "Bacterial small subunit ribosomal RNA", at positions 28 to 507 of the family's 1533-position model. The record is from RNAcentral.
GAUGAACGCUGGCGGCGUGCCUAAUACAUGCAAGUCGAGCGAACGGACGAGAAGCUUGCUUCUCUGAUGUUAGCGGCGGACGGGUGAGUAACACGUGGAUAACCUACCUAUAAGACUGGGAUAACUUCGGGAAACCGGAGCUAAUACCGGAUGAUAUUUUGAACCGCAUGGUUCAAAAGUGAAAGACGGUCUUGCUGUCACUUAUAGAUGGAUCCGCGCUGCAUUAGCUAGUUGGUAAUGUAACGGCUUACCAAGGCAACGAUGCAUAGCCGACCUGAGAGGGUGAUCGGCCACACUGGAACUGAGACACGGUCCAGACUCUUACGGGAGGCAGCAGUAGGGAAUCUUCCGCAAUGGGCGAAAGCCUGACGGAGCAACGCCGCGUGAGUGAUGAAGGUCUUCGGAUCGUAAAACUCUGUUAUUAGGGAAGAACAUAUGUGUAAGUAACUGUGCACAUCUUGACGGUACCUAAUCAGAAAGCCACGGCUAACUACGUG